UGGGGCGUCGCCAAGCGGUAAGGCACCGGAUUUUGAUUCCGGCAUUCGGAGGUUCGAUCCCUCCCGCCCCAGCCA
This 75-nucleotide transfer RNA is filed under the name Hyphomicrobiales bacterium. RNAcentral's name for it is "tRNA-Gln". It matches the Rfam family "tRNA". Rfam says of the family: Transfer RNA (tRNA) molecules are approximately 80 nucleotides in length. Their secondary structure includes four short double-helical elements and three loops (D, anti-codon, and T loops). The record is from RNAcentral. RNAcentral also lists the same sequence under 9 other names. Lineage: Bacteria; Pseudomonadati; Pseudomonadota; Alphaproteobacteria; Hyphomicrobiales.